Molecule: long non-coding RNA, 778 nt
Filed under: Androctonus crassicauda
Lineage: Eukaryota; Metazoa; Arthropoda; Arachnida; Scorpiones; Buthidae
Source: RNAcentral
AUUAAUUUGGUGAUUAUUAAUUUUGAUAUUGAAAAAUGAUGAUUAAAAUCCAGGGAUGUAAGUAUUUUAGAAUAACUAUCUAUUAAUUUUGUUAAUUUUAUUUCAACAGUUAAAUUGAUUAAUAAUAAUAGUAUGUAGAUUGAUUUAUAUUUUAAAUUGAGUACUAUUUAUAUGGGUGCAAUUCCAUCCUGAGCCCCAAUCCCAACUGUCCAGGUAGUAGAAGAUGCAACAACCAGGAGGCCACAUUAUUAUUAUUUUGUGUAUGACCUACGGAUGUCCUUUUGCAGAUGAGCAGUAUCACUGUUUAUGGCCAUGCGAUACAAUCCCGAAGAUGUUUGCCCAUGCAGUCCCAUCUGUUACCCAGUUCGUUGUCAUAUUUGGUGGCAGGAACUGCACCAGAAUGUUAGUGAAUAGUACCCCCCACAAAUGUGGGAAGAGAUGGCACACUUCAGACAUAUGAAGUCAGUCAACAUCAACACUUUGCAAAAAUGUAGGAAGUGUUUCUUUGGUGGAGUUAAUGAUGAAAUUUCAAAAAUCACGUACAGCAUGCAGUUCAUCACCUUUUACGAAAAAUACUGCAUAAGAACUCAUUCAGAAACAUUCUUUGUAAAUAACACCUGGGUUUCACAAUAAGAAUGUAGGUUGUAAAUUUGCAUCAAAUGUUCAAUUUGCAUCAUAUAUCAUGAACAUUUCACUCUCUAGUUGAAAGAUCAUCUGAGUGUUUGAUGAACAACAAUGUAUAAUUUUUAUCUAUUUCAAAAUAAAACUUUUAGAUGGU